Molecule: ribosomal RNA, 251 nt
Filed under: uncultured bacterium
Lineage: Bacteria
Description: partial 16S ribosomal RNA
Rfam family: Bacterial small subunit ribosomal RNA
Source: RNAcentral
UACGGGGGGGCAAGCGUUGUUCGGAAUUACUGGGCGUAAAGGGCUCGUAGGCGGCCAACUAAGUCAGACGUGAAAUCCCAGGCUCAACCUGGGAACUGCGUCUGAUACUGGAUGGCUUGAAUUCGGGAGAGGGAUGCAGAAUUCCAGGUGUAGCGGUGAAAUGCGUAGAUAUCUGGAGGAAUACCGGUGGCGAAGGCGGCAUCCUGGACCGACAUUGACGCUGAGGAGCGAAAGCCAGGGGAGCAAACGGG